This 497-nucleotide ribosomal RNA is filed under the name uncultured bacterium. RNAcentral's name for it is "partial 16S ribosomal RNA". It matches the Rfam family "Bacterial small subunit ribosomal RNA", at positions 28 to 507 of the family's 1533-position model. The record is from RNAcentral.
GGUGAACGCUGGCGGCGUGCCUAAUACAUGCAAGUCGAGCGAACAGACGAGGAGCUUGCUCCUCUGACGUUAGCGGCGGACGGGUGAGUAACACGUGGAUAACCUACCUAUAAGACUGGGAUAACUUCGGGAAACCGGAGCUAAUACCGGAUAAUAUAUUGAACCGCAUGGUUCAAUAGUGAAAGACGGUUUUGCUGUCACUUAUAGAUGGAUCCGCGCCGCAUUAGCUAGUUGGUAAGGUAACGGCUUACCAAGGCAACGAUGCGUAGCCGACCUGAGAGGGUGAUCGGCCACACUGGAACUGAGACACGGUCCAGACUCCUACGGGAGGCAGCAGUAGGGAAUCUUCCGCAAUGGGCGAAAGCCUGACGGGGCAACGCCGCGUGAGUGAUGAAGGUCUUCGGAUCGUAAAACUCUGUUAUUAGGGAAGAACAAAUGUGUAAGUAACUAUGCACGUCUUGACGGUACCUAAUCAGAAAGCCACGGCUAACUACGUG